Long non-coding RNA from Rhea pennata, 254 nucleotides. RefSeq lists it as uncharacterized. The transcript has 3 exons. NCBI's taxonomy places the organism in Eukaryota, Metazoa, Chordata, Aves, Rheiformes, Rheidae. The record is from RefSeq and is a predicted model, not a curated record.
UGGGGCCGCAGGGGAGCCGGGGAGCCGAGCCCAGAGGUGGGGAAGGACUGGGAUCCCCGGAGGGGGAAGCUCAGGGCUCCACUACAGGGGAAUCCCUAGUGUUGCUGGGAAAACAAGCAAAGAAGAGACUUCGAGAGAUGUAGAAGUAAAGAAAAUACACAUUUAUAGGAAUUCCUACAAGACCAGAUUAAAUGUCUGUACCACAACAUCACCUUUAACUGCCGAGUGUGUCAAUGUCCUUCUCCUACUGACCU